This 379-nucleotide ribosomal RNA is filed under the name uncultured bacterium. RNAcentral describes it as "bacterial SSU rRNA". It matches the Rfam family "Bacterial small subunit ribosomal RNA", at positions 367 to 762 of the family's 1533-position model. The record is from RNAcentral.
CGCAAUGGGCGAAAGCCUGAUGGAGCAACGCCGCGUGCAGGAUGAAGGCCUUCGGGUUGUAAACUGCUUUUAUAUGUGACGAUUUUGACGGUAGCAUAUGAAUAAGGAUCGGCUAACUCCGUGCCAGCAGCCGCGGUCAUACGGAGGAUCCAAGCGUUAUCUGGAAUUACUGGGCGUAAAGAGUUGCGUAGGUGGCAUGGUAAGUUGGUAGUGAAAGCCUGGGGCUCAACCCCUUACACAUUACCAAAACUGCCAAGCUAGAGGAUGAGAGAGGUUAUUGGAAUUCCUAGUGUAGGAGUGAAAUCCGUAGAUAUUAGGAGGAACACCGAUGGCGUAGGCAGAUAACUGGCUCAUUCCUGACACUAAGGCACGAAAGCGU